UCAGAAAAUCUUCUUAGCAUAGCUGUGAGUUUCUCCAUCCUCUAGUCAUCUCCACGAGUUCAAGCAAGGCCAAGGGAGAAGAAGCAUAGCCGUGAGCAUCCAUCAUCCAUCUCCAACCUUGAAGCUUGCUUUCGAGAUUCAAGAGACCACCACAUCAAUCGUUCAUCACCAUCUCCAUCUCACGGUAUUCAUAUAUUGCGAUUUAUGGUGUACCCUCAAUCCCCGGAAUAGAACGAUCCCUAUU
This 244-nucleotide long non-coding RNA is filed under the name Rosa chinensis. Its description in RNAcentral is "sRNA RchiOBHm_Chr0c24g0500861". Lineage: Eukaryota; Viridiplantae; Streptophyta; Magnoliopsida; Rosales; Rosaceae. The record is from RNAcentral.